UCUUAUCUUCUGAUCAUCGGAUAGCUUUUUCCAAGACUCUUAAAAGAGUCUCUCAUGAACUACGCUUGCAGUAAUUUCACAAGCUCUUGUCUGCUUCAUCAAUGGCGAUCUCGAUCCCUCUACGCUUCCUUGCCGUCUCUUAUCGUCGAAGCUCACCUUUUCAUUUCUUCCACUACUUUCUUUGGCUCAAUUUUUGGUGCUGAUUGAUUGGUUCUGUUUUACAGAGAGUAAAACGUUUUGGCCUGGCUAAGCAUGGCCGGCUGGCCACCAGGGCUUCUGGGUCUGACGAAAAUAGCUCUCUUAAUGGGUUUAACAUCACACCCAACAAUCUUUUCAUGUAAGAGCUUUGGCCUUCAGGUGAAGCCAAAUUUUUCAAGAAGGAGAUGGUUGUACCUUGAAUCAACUGGGUGCCAGAAUGGUGGCUCGUUCUUCAUUGAUCCAGAUCUCCAGGAAUGAAAGAAACACUAGAUUCAGAUCGAUCUCUAUGGAUCUGGGAUCUGAUGACAAUGAAGCGGAUGAUGCUUGCUGAAGAACAGAUCUGAACAAAUCUGGAAAUUAUGACUAAAAAAGAAUAUUAUCUCAUGGGAUUUGACUUAGGAGAUUAUUAUCACUAAUUGUGAUAAUAUUAAUUAAUCUUUAAAGUAAAUUAAGAAAAACAAAAUUGCUAAAAUGAUAUCCUUAAUUGUAUAUGUGUAGAGAUGGAUCCCCGUAGAAAAUACAUCAAUUCACACUGAUGUCAAGAAUCAAAUAUAAUUAUAAUUUUAAUUAUAAUUUUAAUUGUGUCAUGUGUAGUAUUAAUGGGUCCCACUAAAAAACUCACACUGAUUUUUUUAUCAGUGGGGGAAGACCAAAAACCACCCCACCAAAUGGAACAGACGUAGCAUCUGUGAGUGUAGGGUAGCCAUUGGGCUUCCCA
Long non-coding RNA from Rosa chinensis, 916 nucleotides. RefSeq lists it as uncharacterized. The record is from RefSeq and is a predicted model, not a curated record. The transcript has 3 exons. NCBI's taxonomy places the organism in Eukaryota, Viridiplantae, Streptophyta, Magnoliopsida, Rosales, Rosaceae.